This 897-nucleotide ribosomal RNA is filed under the name uncultured Planctomycetota bacterium. RNAcentral describes it as "bacterial SSU rRNA". It matches the Rfam family "Bacterial small subunit ribosomal RNA", at positions 28 to 895 of the family's 1533-position model. Lineage: Bacteria; Pseudomonadati; Planctomycetota. The record is from RNAcentral.
AGCGAACGCUGGCGGCGUGGUUGAGACAUGCAAGUCGAACGAGUCUGACCUGGUCGUAAGACCGGGUUAGUACGAGUGGCGUAAGGGAGAGUACAAAACAGGUAACGUGCCUCGGACACCGGGACAGCCUGUCGAAAGACGGAUUAAUACCGGGGAUGUCCCGAUCUGCAUGGAUCGGGAUCAUAGGACGGGGACCCUUCGGGGCCUGUCGGUCUGAGAGCGGCCUGUUUCCUAUCAGCCAGUUGGUGAGGUAACGGCUCACCAAGGCGAUGACGGGUAGCCGGCCUUAGCGGGUGUUCGGCCUCACUGGGACUGAGACACUGCCCAGAGCCCUACGGGGUGCAGCAGUCUCGAAUCAUCCGCAAUGCGCGCAAGCGUGACGGUGCGACGCCGCGUGCGGGAGGAAGCCCUUCGGGGUGUAAACCGCUUUCAGAGGUAUGAAGUGCGCCCGCCGAACAAGCGGGUGGCAUUGACGUCAACUCUGGAAUAAGCCACGGCUAACUUCGUGCCAGCAGCCGCGGUAAGACGAAGGUGGCAAGCGUUGCUCGGAACUACUGGGCUUAAAGCGGGCGCAGGCGGCCCGGUCAGUCGGAUGUGAAAGCCCUUGGCUCAACCAAGGAAUGGCACCCGAUACUGCCGGGCUUGAGGCAUUCAGGGGCGACUGGAACUCUCGGUGGAGCGGUGAUAUGCGUAGAUAUCGAGAGGAACGCCAAUAGCGAAGGCAGGUCGCUGGGGAUGUCCUGACGCUGAGGCCCGAAAGCCAGGGGAGCGAACGGGAUUAGAUACCCCGGUAGUCCCGGCCCUAAACGAUGCACACUAGGUGGGGGAGGGUUUGACGCUCAUCCCUGCCGCAGAGAAAUCGUUAAGUGUGCCGCCUGGGGAGACGGUCGCAAGGCU